RNAcentral lists this transfer RNA (95 nucleotides) under Sphingomonas jeddahensis. Its description in RNAcentral is "tRNA-Arg". The record is from RNAcentral. Lineage: Bacteria; Pseudomonadati; Pseudomonadota; Alphaproteobacteria; Sphingomonadales; Sphingomonadaceae.
GCUGACUCUGGCGUUUGGGGCGGCAAUGCUGGCGAUCUACGCGAUCGCGGCGGAGCAAUUGUGGUCGAUGCUGAUGAUCGUGACGUUGAUCGGCA